Molecule: long non-coding RNA, 2305 nt
Organism: Dalotia coriaria
Lineage: Eukaryota; Metazoa; Arthropoda; Insecta; Coleoptera; Staphylinidae
Exons: 3
Source: RefSeq, a predicted model, not a curated record
GAGAAUAGUUUUGUAUACAAUGCUGUUAUCUGCAUUCGGUGUAAAUUCGGUGUAAACAACGUUUUUAACGCAUGUGUCCCGCGCGCUGUCUCCUAGCAUCGCAUCAACUUGCUGCAUGCAGUGAAGUUUCGCACAAGGUCGUGUGUAUUCGACGCCGUCUUUGCGCACCUCUUGUUUUCUUAUCAUAUACUGUUCCGUCGUUGUUUACGCAGUUUCGGCAUGCACUAUCGGUGGAAUGCAGCCAGUUUCGUGCCGGUCGCUGAUUAAUCGAGUCGUGUUUUGAGAGACUUAUAUCGGUUAUUCGGACUUCAAUAUUCUAAAUUUGUGUUAUACUCGAAGAUCAAUCGACUAUUUAUUUGUACUUUGCGACUAUAGUAAUUUGUUUAAUGUUUGGAAAUGCCGGUUUUUGAUCGCGUUUGUUGUGUACAUUACAAGUCACGUGAUAGUGGAUUUGAUAACAUUCUUCACUCGGCGUUGUGUUUGGUGUCGGUAACUAAAUUAAACGCAUAUAUAUCGCCGCCAUGUUGAUUCUCAUCAUUAAGAUCUGUCUUAUCCGGCUCGUUUACAGCACUCGUUGUGCCUGGCAGUCCGAUAAGCUGUAGGCUGUUACAGCACUCGUUGUGCCUCACAGUAGGAUAGGCUGUACACUGGUAAGUUUAUAAUUAAAUUAUAUUUUUCAGUCAAAUUUGCAUUAGCUGUAUAUAGCAGGAAUUGUAGUGUUUUUAGUAUAACAUGCGAACCCGGCGUCAUAAUACGUUCAGAACCAUUUUCUUAGAUUCGGAAUUUAAUUUUGUAUCACCCUGUAUUUGAAUUUAUUUCAACAAAAUGCCGUAGUGCGAGGAAUAUUGAAAGUUGUGUGUAUGCGCAGUAGUACUCGUUGCUUUAGGUAUUGUAGUUUUUUCCGAAUAACACGCGAACGGGGUGCCAUAAUAACUUCGGAAUAAUUUUCCCUGAUGCGGAAUUUAAUUAUGUAUCUCCCUGUAUUAAACUUUAUUGCGAGAAAAUUCUGUAACGCGAGUUAUAUCGAAAGUUGUGCGUGUGCGCAGUAGUACUCGUUGCUUUAGGUAUUGUAGUUUUUUCCGAAUAACACGCGAACGGGGUGCCAUAAUAACUUCGGAAUAAUUUUCUCUGAUGCGGAAUUUAAUUAUGUAUCUCCCUGUAUUAAACUUUAUUGCGUGAAAAUUCUGUAACGCGAGUUAUAUCGAAAGUUGUGCGUGUGCGCAGUAGUACUCGUUGCUUUAGGUAUUGUAGUUUUUUCCGAAUAACACGCGAACGGGGUGCCAUAAUAACUUCGGAAUAAUUUUCCCUGAUGCGGAAUUUAAUUAUGUAUCUCCCUGUAUUAAACUUUAUUGCGAGAAAAUUCUGUAACGCGAGUUAUAUCGAAAGUUGUGCGUGUGCGCAGUAGUACUCGUUGCUUUAGGUAUUGUAGUUUUUUCCGAAUAACACGCGAACGGGGUGCCAUAAUAACUUCAGAAUAAUUUUCCUGAUGCGGAAUUUAAUUAUGUAUCUCCCUGUAUUAAACUUUAUUGCGAGAAAAUUCUGUAACGCGAGUUAUAUCGAAAGUUGUGCGUGUGCGCAGUAGUACUCGUUGCUUUAGGUAUUGUAAUUUUUUCCGAAUAACACGCGAACGGGGUGCCAUAAUAACUUCGGAAUAAUUUUCCCUGAUGCGGAAUUUAAUUAUGUAUCUCCCUGUAUUAAACUUUAUUGCGUGAAAAUUCUGUAACGCGAGUUAUAUCGAAAGUUGUGCGUGUGCGCAGUAGUACUCGUUGCUUUAGGUAUUGUAGUUUUUUCCGAAUAACACGCGAACGGGGUGCCAUAAUAACUUCGGAAUAAUUUUCCCUGAUGCGGAAUUUAAUUAUGUAUCUCCCUGUAUUAAACUUUAUUGCGAGAAAAUUCCGUAACGCGAGUUAUGUUGAAAGUUGUGUGUGUGCGGCGUAGUACUCGUUGCGCUUGCAACUGUAGUUUUUUUAUUAUUACACGCAAAUGCGGUGUCACAAUAACUUCGGAAUAAUUUUGCCUGAUGCGGAAUUUAAUUAUGUAUCUCCCUGUAUUAAACUUUAUUGCGAGAAAAUUUUGUAACGCGAGUUAUAUCGUAAGUUGUGCGUGUGCGCUGUAGUACUCGUUGCGUUGGGUAUUGUAGUUUUUUCCGAAUAACACGCGAAAGCGGUCUCACAGUGAGUUCGGAUGAAUUUUCUCCGCUGCAGAAUUUAAUUCCGUAUCUCGCUAUUGAUGAUGAUUCCAUAUACGAUUAAAUGAAUUUAGAACAUUUUGAAGCUGUUAUUUAUAUCAUUUUUGGUAAUUUUAU